Prunus avium (sweet cherry) is the source of this 560-nucleotide non-coding RNA. The record is from RefSeq and is a predicted model, not a curated record. NCBI's taxonomy places the organism in Eukaryota, Viridiplantae, Streptophyta, Magnoliopsida, Rosales, Rosaceae.
GGGAGCUAGGGCUUCGGCAAGGCUGGGUUUUGAGUUCGGAGGGAGGCCAUAUAGAUUCCGCACGACCCUUGCCGUUCGACAAGGGUUUUGUUUAAAAGUUUCGACGGCUGGGCUUCGGUGGUGUGACGGCUGAGCCGUGUCUUUCUUUUCUUUAGCCGUGACUUUUUAAAUUGUCGAGUCUUGGAGAUUCGAAUUGGCCAUUGAAGCUGGGUUUAGCAAGGGCAGAUUCGGCAAGGAGAUUGAGCCCUUGGGCUUUUGUCAAACCUUGGACUUGAACGGCUUGUGAGCUGGGCUAUUCGUAGGGGCUGGGCCAUAGGUGUAUUUGUUGGGGCUGCGCCGUGGGUGUUUAGUCCCCCUGAUGUUUCAGCUGGAGUGGAUUUGGAGCUAGAACAUCGGCACGGCUGGAGUAGGCCUGAAGUUGGACUUUUUCAAUCCUUGGAGCCGUCAAGGCUUGGGCUUCGGCAAGACUAGGAGUUGGGUCUCCGUGGGCAAGGUACAAGGAUUUUGAGAGGGAAAUUGGAAGGGUGGUAGGGUUUUCUCGUGAACCAAGGCAUUGGUAC